This 405-nucleotide ribosomal RNA is filed under the name uncultured bacterium. RNAcentral describes it as "partial 16S ribosomal RNA". It matches the Rfam family "Bacterial small subunit ribosomal RNA", at positions 30 to 526 of the family's 1533-position model. The record is from RNAcentral.
AUUGAACGCUGGCGGCAGGCUUAACACAUGCAAGUCGAACGAGUGGCGGACGGGUGAGUAAUGCUUGGGAAUCUAGCUUAUGGAGGGGGAUAACUACGGGAAAAUGUAGCUAAUACCGCGUACCAUAGGAUGAGCCCAAGUGGGAUUAGGUGGUUGGUGGGGUAAAGGCUCAACAAGCCGACGAUCCCUAGCUGGUCUGAGAGGAUGACCAGCCAUAUGGGGACUGAGACACGGCCCAUACUCCUACGGGAGGCAGCAGGGGGGAAUAGUGCGCAAUGGGGGCAACCUGAUGCAGCCAUGCCGCGUGUAUGAAGAAGGCCUUCGGGUUGUAAAGUACUUUCGGUAGCGAGGCGUUAUCUACAGAAGAAGCACCGGCUAACUCCGUGCCAGCAGCCGCGGUAAUUC